GUAGGGAAUAUUGCGCAAUGGGGGAAACCCUGACGCAGCAACGCCGCGUGAGUGAGGAAGGUCUUCGGAUUGUAAAACUCUUUUAUUAGGGAAAAAUGUCUAGGUGGCUAAUAUCCACUUAGAGUGAUGGUACCUAAGGAAUAAGCACCGGCUAACUUCGUGCCAGCAGCCGCGGUAAUACGAAGGGUGCAAGCGUUGUUCGGAAUCAUUGGGCGUAAAGCGCGAGCAGGCGGGUCAGUAAGUCAGGUGUGAAAUCUCGGAGCUCAACGCCGAAACUGCGACUGAAACGAUUGGUCUAGAGUAUCGGAGGGGACAGGGGAAUUUCACGUGUAGGGGUAAAAUCCGUAGAGAUGUGAAGGAACACCGGAGGCGAAGGCGCCUGUCUGGACGAUUACUGACGCUGAGGCGCGAAAGCGUGGGGAGCAAACAGGAUUAGAAACCCCUGUAGUCC
Molecule: ribosomal RNA, 451 nt
Filed under: uncultured bacterium
Lineage: Bacteria
Description: bacterial SSU rRNA
Rfam family: Bacterial small subunit ribosomal RNA
Source: RNAcentral